This 322-nucleotide ribosomal RNA is filed under the name uncultured eukaryote. RNAcentral's name for it is "partial 18S ribosomal RNA". It matches the Rfam family "Eukaryotic small subunit ribosomal RNA", at positions 1470 to 1796 of the family's 1831-position model. The record is from RNAcentral.
CCCUUAGAUGUUCUGGGCCGCACGCGCGCUACACUGUUUGAUUCAGCGAGUCUUAACCUUGACCGAAAGGUUUGGGUAAUCUUCUAAAGUCAAACGUGAUGGGGAUCGAUCAUUGCAAUUAUUGAUCGUGAACGAGGAAUUCCUAGUAAAUGCAAGUCAUCAGCUUGCGUUGAUUACGUCCCUGCCCUUUGUACACACCGCCCGUCGCUCCUACCGAUUGGAUGAUCCGGUGAGCUAUUCGGACUUUCGCAUUGUCGAUUUUCGGCUUUACGAGGGAAAGUCUCGCGAACCUUAUCAUCUAGAGGAAGGAGAAGUCGUAACA